Molecule: long non-coding RNA, 1189 nt
Filed under: Piliocolobus tephrosceles (Ugandan red Colobus)
Lineage: Eukaryota; Metazoa; Chordata; Mammalia; Primates; Cercopithecidae
Description: lncRNA (ENSPTEG00000013165.1)
Source: RNAcentral
AUGAAAAAUUGAAUUUUAAAAUUGCUUGAAGUGAUGAAAAAUUGAAACAAGUGAACAAAUACAAGACAGGUGACACAUAUACAUAUAAUUUCUUCUAUCAGAGUGCAUAUGGACUAGCAUACUUUAAAAUAAACAUUUAAGUUUUUAUGCCAACAUUUAAGUAUGUCAACUAUUUAUUACUUUUAUAAAAUCGCUUUUUAAGUUUUUACCGCUUUCCUUUUUUUUUUUUUUUUUUUGUGUGUGUGCUUAACUUCUUAUAUUUAUAUAUACAUAUAUUUAUAUAUACAUAUAUUUAUAUAUACAUAUAUUUAUAUAUACAUAUAUUUAUAUGUACAUAUAUUUAUAUGUACAUAUAUUUAUAUGUACAUAUAUUUAUAUGUACAUAUAAUAUGUUUUCUUUUUCUUUCCUUUUUGAUUUUUAUUUUCAAUUUAAAAAAUUGUACAUAUUUUCAUAAAUAUAUUUCCAUUUUUAUUAUGUUAAUUUGUUUAUUUCUUUAUUUAUUUUUUUGACCAUUUAUUUAUUUAUUUGUUUAUUUUAUUUUUUUUUUUUGGGGGGGUGAACUAAAUUGCUAAUUUUAUUGUAAGACAUUAUUUUUUUUUAUUUUUAUAUAUGAAUUUUCAUAUUAUAUUUCAUAUUAACUUUUAAGUAUUAUUUUAAGUAUUACUUUAUAUAACUUUUAUAAAAUGUGAUUUUUUAAUUUUCAUACAUGGGAAAUUGUUUAUGUAGAUGUUUACUAAAAAUCUAAUAUAUAUAUAUACAUAUAUAUUUGUACAUGUUUUUCUUUUAUUUUCCCUUUUUUAAAAUUUACUUUUGUUUAUUCAUUUCAAGUAUAUCAUUUUUUUUAUUUUUUUGUAAACUGUUUUAUCUGUUAAAGGUCUAUUUGUUUGUACUUUUAAUUUAUAUGAUUUAUUAAGCUAUUUUAUUUCACUAAACUUUUUUUUUUUGUUUUUUUUUUUGUUAUAUAUAAAUUAAAAACAAAUGAGCAACAUUCACACGUUAGCAGAUUAUAGGGAUGACUUUGGGGAACAUUUACCAUUCAAUAGAGGAUAUUAUGAGUCACAGAGCAGUUUCAUUCAAAGAUCAAAACCAAUCGAUAUAGUUCAACUUAUUUUUCCACACUUUACAUGGUUCAGUUUUGUCAUUGCUGUCUCUAUUAUACAAAUAAUUAUUUUUAUUAUAUUAAUUGCC